Molecule: ribosomal RNA, 293 nt
Filed under: uncultured bacterium
Lineage: Bacteria
Description: partial 16S ribosomal RNA
Rfam family: Archaeal small subunit ribosomal RNA
Source: RNAcentral
GUGCCAGCCGCCGCGGUAAUACCGGCAGCCCGAGUGAUGGCCGAUCUUAUUGGGCCUAAAGCGUCCGUAGCUGGCUACGCAAGUCCGUCGGGAAAUCCACUCGCCCAACGAGUGGGCGUCCGACGGAAACUGCAUAGCUUGGGACCGGAAGGCUCGAGGGGUACGUUCGGGGUAGGAGUGAAAUCCUAUAAUCCCGCACGGACCACCGAUGGCGAAAGCACUUCGAGAAAACGGAUCCGACAGCGAGGGACGAAAGCUGGGAUCUCGAACCGGAUUAGAAACCCGAGUAGUCC